RNAcentral lists this ribosomal RNA (497 nucleotides) under uncultured bacterium. RNAcentral describes it as "partial 16S ribosomal RNA". It matches the Rfam family "Bacterial small subunit ribosomal RNA", at positions 28 to 507 of the family's 1533-position model. The record is from RNAcentral.
GAUGAACGCUGGCGACGUGCCUAAUACAUGCAAGUCGAGCGAACAGACGAGGAGCUUGCUCCUUUGACGUUAGCGGCGGACGGGUGAGUAACACGUGGGUAACCUACCUAUAAGACUGGGAUAACUUCGGGAAACCGGAGCUAAUACCGGAUAAUAUUUCGAACCGCAUGGUUCGAUAGUGAAAGAUGGCUUUGCUAUCACUUAUAGAUGGACCUGCGCCGUAUUAGCUAGUUGGUAGGGUAACGGCUUACCAAGGCAACGAUACGUAGCCGACCUGAGAGGGUGAUCGGCCACACUGGAACUGAGACACGGUCCAGACUCCUACGGGAGGCAGCAGUAGGGAAUCUUCCGCAAUGGGCGAAAGCCUGACGGAGCAACGCCGCGUGAGUGAUGAAGGUCUUCGGAUCGUAAAACUCUGUUAUUAGGGAAGAACAAACGUGUAAGUAACUGUGCACGUCUUGACGGUACCUAAUCAGAAAGCCACGGCUAACUACGUG